Molecule: ribosomal RNA, 460 nt
Filed under: uncultured bacterium
Lineage: Bacteria
Description: partial 16S ribosomal RNA
Rfam family: Bacterial small subunit ribosomal RNA
Source: RNAcentral
CCUACGGGCGGCAGCAGUGAGGAAUAUUGGUCAAUGGGCGCGAGUCUGAACCAGCCAAGUAGCGUGAGGGAUGAAGGCCCUAUGGGUUGUAAACUUCUUUUGUAAGGGAAUAAACCGCGGCACGUGUGCUUUUUUGCAUGUACUUUAUGAAUAAGGAUCGGCUAACUCCGUGCCAGCAGCCGCGGUAAUACGGAGGAUCCGAGCGUUAUCCGGAUUUAUUGGGUUUAAAGGGAGCGUAGACGGGGUGUUAAGUCAGUGGUGAAAGUUUGCGGCUCAACCGUAAAAUUGCAAUUGAGACUGGAAGGCGUGAGUACAGUGGAGGCAGGCGGAAGUCGUGGUGUAGCGGUGAAAUGCUUAGAUAUCACGAAGAACCCCGAUUGCGAAGGCAGCCUACCAAACUGUGACUGACACUGAUGCUCGAAAGUGUGGGUAUCAAACAGGAUUAGAUACCCCAGUAGUC